UAGCCACACUACAGCUAGCCGGUGUGCUGCCAUCGCUAUCAGCAUCGGUAGAGAACACGUCGGCUAGCUGUAGUGUGGCUA
RNAcentral lists this microRNA precursor (81 nucleotides) under Trypanosoma congolense IL3000. Lineage: Eukaryota; Euglenozoa; Kinetoplastea; Trypanosomatida; Trypanosomatidae. The record is from RNAcentral.